Molecule: ribosomal RNA, 409 nt
Filed under: bacterium
Lineage: Bacteria
Description: partial 16S ribosomal RNA
Rfam family: Bacterial small subunit ribosomal RNA
Source: RNAcentral
UGGGGAAUAUUGCACAAUGGGCGAAAGCCUGAUGCAGCGACGCCGCGUGAGGGAUGACGGCCUUCGGGUUGUAAACCUCUUUCAGCAGGGACGAAGCGCAAGUGACGGUACCUGCAGAAGAAGCACCGGCUAACUACGUGCCAGCAGCUGCGGUAAUACGUAGGGUGCAAGCGUUGUCCGGAAUUACUGGGCGUAAAGAGUUCGUAGGCGGUUUGUCGCGUCGUUUGUGAAAACCAGCAGCUCAACUGCUGGCUUGCAGGCGAUACGGGCAGACUUGAGUACUGCAGGGGAGACUGGAAUUCCUGGUGUAGCGGUGAAAUGCGCAGAUAUCAGGAGGGACACAGGUGGCGAAGGCGGGUCUCUGGGCAGUAACUGACGCUGAGGAACGAAAGCGUGGGUAGCGAACAGG